This 1131-nucleotide long non-coding RNA is filed under the name Calidris pugnax (ruff). RNAcentral describes it as "lncRNA (ENSCPUG00000002188.1)". Lineage: Eukaryota; Metazoa; Chordata; Aves; Charadriiformes; Scolopacidae. The record is from RNAcentral.
CCCCAAAUCCUUUUUUUUCAGUCCAAAAAACCCAUUUUUUACCCCGAGAAAACUCUUUUUUACCCAAAACCUCUCAUUUUGUACCUAGAACUUCUCAUUUUUUACCCAAACCCCCCCUUUUCCACCCCAAAAUCCCCAAUUUUUCCCCAAACCCCCUUUUUUUUUACCCCAAACCCCCUUUUUUUACCCCAAGUUCUUCUUUUCUACCCAAAAAGACUCUUUUUCACCCCAAGAAAACUUUUUUUUUACUCAAAACUCCCGUUUUUCACCCCAAACUCUCCUUUUUUAUCCAAAACUCUUCUUUUUUCCCCAACAAACCCCCUUUUUUUCCAAAAACCUCUCCUUUUCCACCCCCAAAUCCCCCAGUUUUUCCCCAAAUCCCCUUUUUUACCUCAAAACCCCAUUUCUACUCCCAAAUUCUUCUUUUUCACCCAAAAAGACUCUUUUUCACCCAAAGAAAACUCUUUUUUUCCCCAAACUCCCCUUUUUUUCCUCAAACCCCCCUUUUUACCCCUAAAUUCUCCUUUUUUACCCCAACCCCCCCUUUUUUUUCCCAAAAUCCUCUCCUUUUUCACCCCCAAAUCCCCCUUUUUUCCCCCAAAUCCCCCUUUUUUUACCCCAAAACCCCAUUUUUACUCCCAAAUUCUCCUUUUUCACCCAAAAAGACUUUUUCACCCCAAGAAGACCCUUUUUUUUCCCCAAACCCCCCUUUUUACCCCUAAAUUCUCCUUUUUUACCCAAAAAAACAUUUUUUUUCAAAAACCCUCUCCUUUUUCACCCCCAAAUCCCCCAAUUUUUCCCCAAAUCCCUUUUUUUCCCCAAAAACCCCAUUUUUUACCCCCAAAUUCUCCUUUUUCACCCAAAAAGACUCUUUUUCACCCAAAGAAAACUCUUUUUUACCCCAAAACCCCAUUUCCCCCCCCAAAUUCUCCUUUUUCACCAAAAAACACUCUUUUUCACCCAAAAAACUCUCUUUUUUUACUCAAACCAAAACUUUUUUAUCCAAAACUCUUCAUUUUUCCCCCAACAACCCCUCCUUUUUCCCCAAAACUCUCCUUUUUUCCCCCAAAACCCUCCUUUUCCCCCAAAAACCUCAUUUUUUUUCUCCUCCCUUUUCCAUUCUUUCCCUAA